Molecule: ribosomal RNA, 467 nt
Filed under: uncultured soil bacterium
Lineage: Bacteria
Description: bacterial SSU rRNA
Rfam family: Bacterial small subunit ribosomal RNA
Source: RNAcentral
AGAGUGAACGCUGGCGGCAGGCCUAACACAUGCAAGUCGAACGGCAGCACAGGAGAGCUUGCUCUCUGGGUGGCGAGUGGCGGACGGGUGAGGAAUACGUCGGAAUCUGCCUAUUUGUGGGGGAUAACCUCGGGAAACCGGGACUAAUACCGCAUACGACCUACGGGUGAAAGCGGAGGACCUUCGGGCUUCGCGCAGAUAGAUGAGCCGACGUCGGAUUAGCUAGUUGGCGGGGUAAAGGCCCACCAAGGCGACGAUCCGUAGCUGGUCUGAGAGGAUGAUCAGCCACACUGGAACUGAGACACGGUCCAGACUCCGUACGGAGCAGCAGUGGGGAAUAUUGGACAAGUGGGCGCAAAGCCUGAUCCAGUCCAGUCGCCGCGUGUGAGAAGAACGGCCUUCGGUUAGUAAACGCUACGUUUUAGGUUGGGAAAGUAAAAGCUAACGUGGUUUAAUACCCCGGUAGU